CCUACGGGCGGCAGCAGUGGGGGAUAUUGCACAAUGGGGGGAACCCUGAUGCAGCGACGCCGCGUGGGUGAAGAAGCGCCUCGGCGCGUAAAGCCCUGUCAGCAGGGAAGAAAAUGACGGUACCUGAAGAAGAAGCCCCGGCUAACUACGGGCCAGCAGCCGCGGUAAUACGUAGGGGGCAAGCGUUAUCCGGAUUUACUGGGUGGAAAGGGGGCGCAGACGGCGAUGCAAGCCAGGAGUGAAAGCCCGGGGCCCAACCCCGGGACUGCUCUUGGAACUGCGUGGCUGGAGUGCAGGAGGGGCAGGCGGAAUUACUGGUGUAGCGGUGAAAUGCGUAGAUAUCAGGAGGAACACCGGUGGCGAAGGCGGCCUGCUGGACUGCAACUGACGUUGAGGCCCGAAAGCGUGGGGAGCAAACAGGAUUAGAUACCCUGGUAGUC
This 440-nucleotide ribosomal RNA is filed under the name uncultured bacterium. RNAcentral's name for it is "partial 16S ribosomal RNA". It matches the Rfam family "Bacterial small subunit ribosomal RNA", at positions 338 to 795 of the family's 1533-position model. The record is from RNAcentral.